Molecule: ribosomal RNA, 405 nt
Filed under: uncultured bacterium
Lineage: Bacteria
Description: bacterial SSU rRNA
Rfam family: Bacterial small subunit ribosomal RNA
Source: RNAcentral
UAGGGAAUAUUGCACAAUGGGCGAAAGCCUGAUGCAGCAACACCGCGUGUGCGAUGAAGGCCUUCGGGUCGUAAAGCACUUUUCUGAGAGAUGAGAAAGGACAGUAUCUCAGGAAUAAGUCUCGGCUAACUACGUGCCAGCAGCCGCGGUAAAACGUAGGAGGCAAGCGUUAUCCGGAUUCACUGGGCGUAAAGCGCGUGCAGGCGGUUCGGUAAGUUGGGCGUGAAAUCUCCCGGCUCAACUGGGAGAGGUCGUUCAAUACUACCGGACUUGAGAGCAGAAGAGGAAAGUGGAAUUCCCGGUGUAGUGGUGAAAUGCGUAGAUAUCGGGAGGAACACCAGUGGCGAAGGCGACUUUCUGGUCUGUUUCUGACGCUCAGACGCGACAGCUAGGGUAGUAAACGGG